Acinonyx jubatus (cheetah) is the source of this 3656-nucleotide long non-coding RNA. RefSeq lists it as uncharacterized. NCBI's taxonomy places the organism in Eukaryota, Metazoa, Chordata, Mammalia, Carnivora, Felidae. The transcript has 5 exons. The record is from RefSeq and is a predicted model, not a curated record.
GGUACCACGGGCUGCCCAGGAUUGCCGACUACGCUGCGUUCCAGCUGGGUCCGCAGUCUCCCUGCUACACCAGAGUUGAGAAUGAACACUGGGAACAUCUCACUAACACAGAGUGUGUUUCUGAUUGAUCCGGCUGCGGGACAGACUGGACGGAGCACGGCCCUGGCGGCAGACCUGGUGUGACCAGGUCCCAGCUCUCCGGAUGAGCAGCUUCUCUGAGCCUGGGCUCCUGAUCUGUAAGCACGUCUCUCCCAGUUGCAAGAAUUAAAGGAAAAACAGCACUCGGUAAGGGCUGUUCCUGCCUCCUCAGUCAUUAGAACUUCAUUCAGUAAAACAGAGUGGAUUCACUACGUUAUCUGAAAUGUGUAACUGUGCUGAAAAAGAAAACCAAUCUGCAAAUUUGUAAAUAAAGCUUUACUAUGUGAGCUUUUAUUCAUGAUUACGAAGUUUUCUUUAGUAAACUCUUCAUCAGAUGGCCAUUAUCUUAUGUUGAUUGGUUUUGAAGAGGAAAAUGAGCCCCUGGAAACAAACACCUCCUCCAGGGAGCCGGCCGGCUUUCCUCCAGGCGGGGCCGUACCGGGGGCACAAGUGUAGUGUGUGGGCUGCUGACACAGAGGGGCCACAUCUCGUGAGUCUGCUGAUGUCUGUCCUGAUUAGUCAGAAACACAUAGCACCACCUGACCUAGAGGAACAAGCCAGGACAGUCGACUGACCAGACUUUGGCUUUUCUAACAAGACGCAGAAAACAACACACGAGUUCCUCCCUGGGACCAGGACAGAAGCCUCCCUGGUCUCCUUCUUUCCAUCUCUCGGUUACUGUGCUGUGAAACAGCUUCCAAAGUACAGACCCUCAGGCUGGACAAGAUCAGCGAGGUCCUCUAGUUCUCUAACGAGACAGGAAAAUACACGCUUUAGGGGGAGUGUCAACAGGGGGAAAAAGCCGAAUUCGGAAGGGCUUUGGGGUCCGUGUUCACUGAAGGAGAAAGUGGAGCUCUGUGCUCACGCCCGCUCUCCAGGGCUGACUGGGCUCCUCCGGGCAGGCCCCUCGCUCGCGGGGAGAAGCUGUUAGUGAAUCUGCUGCCCGCGUUCGAACACCUGGCGGUUCUACACGAACGUGUGGGUUCCUGACCUCAGGGAAGCUCUCACGUUUCUUCCAGGCCACGGUCUGUGCAGCCAAGUGGCUACGACCCGGACACGGCCCGUGCACACGUUAUGGGUCGGCCCCGUGGGACGGUAUUCCGCGCAUCCUUCUAUCUCUAGUGCCUAACAAGGCGCAGAGAAGCUGUCGAUAGAUGCUUUCUCAUGACGUAGAGCAUUUCAGGGUUCAAUCCAAAGAUAUGUACUUAUUACUUGACUGGAAGUAUUUUUUCAAUAAUAUAAGAAAUUUAAGAGGACUUGAAAUUUGGGGCAACCAGGUCAAGGAUUUUACUAGAUGUUUUAUCUUCCGUAAAACGGAAUGGAAUUAUGCAAUAAUCUCUCAUUGAUUUUUACUGUAGGUGAAUACGUUCAGGUUAGUGGUUGGCCGGCCCAGAGCAGGAAAACGGCUUCAGCUCCCCCACAUCCUCCUCCCCGACUCGGUCUAACCACACUCGUCUCGAAUACCGGGAGGCCCGAGGGGCUGUUCACCUGCGAGGCCACUCACUCGGAACGUCGCAGAAAAAGCUGUCCCUGUGGAAGUCCCAGUCGACCUCUCUUUUCUCUCGUUCAUAGUGAUCAUCGGACCACCUGUCGUCCCGGUGGCUGAAAGGGAAGGACAACGUGAGAGGCAGGGACGUGCUGGUGACCGUGUGGGGAAGGCGGUCGACCACGCUGGCACAACGCCGUGUGACGGCCAAUGGAGGACUUGCGUGUGGUCGUACCGGAUAUAACCUGAAUAAAUAAAAGCUCUUUGGGACCCUUGAUGAUUUCUGGAAGCAUAAAGGGGUCAUGACAUCAGGACGUUCGAUACCCGAUAUGCUAACUUCAGACCAUCUUUAAAGAACGUGCUGCCUGAACACCAGCGAUGAAGCUACUCAUGACUCAUGAGCUUGGAGAGAAAACCUAGAGACAGAGCAGGAGAGCAAGGUCUGAAGUGACCUCGGAGCCACAACCUGGAGCAGCUGGGAAGACAUGACAUUUUCUUAGGGGACACGACAGUCAGAUGUCAGAAACGCCCGAAAUGCACCUACAGGUGGAGCCGGGACCCGUCGGAGCUGCACUGUGGUCGCGGAAGCGCCCGUGACACUUCAUCCACCAGGGCGAUCUUACCUCCCUGGCGACAUCUUUCCGAUUUGCUGCUUUUAAUCUCCAAUAGAGCCUGCAGGACGAUUUUCACCUAACUCGGCCUUGGGUUGAUAAAUAACAACUGCUAAAAACAAAUCUAGUCUCUUUUACAGAGUGCAAGUCUUUUUCCAGAGUUCAUUCACCUGUUAAUACCAUGUGGUCAAAUGCACGCCCCAAACCAAACAUAGUACCUCUGCCUGUUCUUUGGUUAGGUUUUCAGCCUUUUUCAACUGAGUAAAACCCCAAGGCAGGUGGCAUUUGCUCGGUGACACGGUCACAAGGAUACACUGGGGGCUGGGCACAAUUCCCAGAGGGCUAGCUGGGGUCCCUCCCUCUCCCGUGGGAGAAAGUGUUUCUGCACACAAGUGGGGGACAGUGACAUUGCUACGGGACGAGGCUCCCAUCUGCUUAAGAAGCACUUACAACUCGGGUCGGGUACCAGUAACGAGCCGUAAGCCGUCCCCGCACCUGACCCCUGAGAACAGGCGCAGCCGCGAGAGCCUGGGCUCCAGGAUCCCGUGGCCAGCGAACCGUGCUGUGUGCACAGCCCUCGGUCAAGGGUACAACGUUCCCACAAAGGAGGCCAAGGGGUGCAGAGCAUGGUGAUAACCAUAAUGGGGUUGAGGCGGAGAGGCAAGGGAAGUUUUUAAAAAAGGUAACAGAAAAAAAAGUAUGAGAGAAAAGUUAACAAGAAACAGAAGAAAAUGUGGAGAGGCUACACAUGGUGUUUCCUUGUUUCCCUCACCUUUUAGCUCUCUUAGUAAUGUCUGAGGAGAGAGUGGGAGGCCGUAGGGAGGGGGAAAUGAGCAGGAACCGUGAACGGUAGAACCUGCAGUGUGCACGUGAUGCUGUGGUCACACGAGCAGAGCCGCCGUCGUCACCACUCGUCACUGUGACGGCACCGCUGGCCGUGCUCCCCGUGCUGUGACUGUCCUCCCCGGACCCCCUCUCCCUGCACCCCUCCCCUCCAGCAACCACGUGUGUUCUCCGGGUCGAUGGAUCUGUUUCUGCCUUUGUUUGUUGUGUUUUAGGGUCCACAAAACCAUACGGUAUUUGUCUUUCUCUGAUUUAUUUCACUGAGCAUAAUACCCUCUGGUCCAUCCACGUUGUUAUAAAUGGCAGGCUCUCACCCUUAUUAUGGCCGAGUGAUAUUCUAGUGUGCACGUGCACGUUUCUACAUACCACAUCUUUCUUUAAAUUAUUUUUUUAAACUGCAGUAUCUUCUUUAUUUAAAUAAUCUCCACGCCCAAUGUGGGGCCUGAAUACACGACCCCGCGAUCAAGAGUCGCAUGUUUGGGGCACCCGGCGAGGCUCGGUUGGAAGAACGUGUGACUUUUGAUCUCGGGGUUGUGACUUCAAGCCCCACGUUCAGUGUAGAGACCACUUAAAAAUUA